GACAGAGGUGCCGAGCGUUAGGCGGAAUCACUGGGCUUAAAGCGCGUGUAGGUGGCGGCCUAAGUACCUUGUGAAAUCCUGCGGCUCAACCACAGAACUGCUUGGUAUACUGGGUCGCUUGAGCCAUCCAGGGGCAACUGGAACAAGCGGUGGAGCGGUGAAAUGCGUAGAUAUCGCUUGGAACGCCAAAGGUGAAAACAGGUUGCUGGGGGAUGCGCUGACACUGAGACGCGAAAGCCAGGGGAGCGAACGGG
RNAcentral lists this ribosomal RNA (254 nucleotides) under uncultured bacterium. RNAcentral describes it as "partial 16S ribosomal RNA". It matches the Rfam family "Bacterial small subunit ribosomal RNA", at positions 524 to 776 of the family's 1533-position model. The record is from RNAcentral.